This 547-nucleotide ribosomal RNA is filed under the name Hyalessa maculaticollis. Its description in RNAcentral is "SSU rRNA". It matches the Rfam family "Eukaryotic small subunit ribosomal RNA", at positions 119 to 645 of the family's 1831-position model. The record is from RNAcentral. Lineage: Eukaryota; Metazoa; Arthropoda; Insecta; Hemiptera; Cicadidae.
CUUGGAUCUUAAACAGUUACUUGGAUAACUNNGGUAAUUCUAGAGCUAAUACAUGCAAACAAGUCCCGACCAGAGAUGGGAGGGACGCUUUUAUUAGAUCAAAACCGAUCGGCGUCCGGCUCCGGCCGGCGCCGUCUCUUUUGGUGACUCUGGAUAACUUUUAGCCGAUCGCACGGUCACAGUACCGGCGACGCAUCUUUCAAAUGUCUGACUUAUCAACUGUCGAUGGGAGGCUCUGCGCCUACCAUGGUUGUAACGGGUAACGGGGAAUCAGGGUUCGAUUCCGGAGAGGGAGCCUGAGAAACGGCUACCACAUCCAAGGAAGGCAGCAGGCGCGCAAAUUACCCACUCCCGGCACGGGGAGGUAGUGACGAAAAAUAACGAUACGGGACUCAUCCGAGGCCCCGUAAUCGGAAUGAGUACACUUUAAAUACUUUAACGAGUACCAAUUGGAGGGCAAGUCUGGUGCCAGCAGCCCCGGUAAUUCCAGCUCCAAUAGCGUAUAUUAAAGUUGUUGCGGUUAAAAAGCUCGUAGUUGGAUCUGUGU